This 397-nucleotide ribosomal RNA is filed under the name uncultured bacterium. RNAcentral describes it as "partial 16S ribosomal RNA". It matches the Rfam family "Bacterial small subunit ribosomal RNA", at positions 523 to 918 of the family's 1533-position model. The record is from RNAcentral.
AUACGAAGGGUGCAAGCGUUACUCGGAAUUACUGGGCGUAAAGCGUGCGUAGGUGGUUGUUUAAGUCUGUCGUGAAAGCCCUGGGCUCAACCUGGGAACUGCGAUGGAAACUGGACGACUAGAGUGUGGUAGAGGGUAGCGGAAUUCCUGGUGUAGCAGUGAAAUGCGUAGAUAUCAGGAGGAACAUCCAUGGCGAAGGCAGCUACCUGGGCCAACACUGACACUGAGGCACGAAAGCGUGGGGAGCAAACAGGAUUAGAUACCCUGGUAGUCCACGCCCUAAACGAUGCGAACUGGAUGUUGGGUGCACUUUGGCACGCAGUAUCGAAGCUAACGCGUUAAGUUCGCCGCCUGGGGAGUACGGUCGCAAGACUGAAACUCAAAGGAAUUGACGGGG